UGCAAGUCGAACGAAGUAGCAAUACUUAGUGGCAGACGGGUGAGUAACAUGUGGGUAUCUGCCCUUUGGCCUGGAAUAACACGAGGAAACUUGUGCUAAUACCGGAUAAGUCUUUACGGAGAAAGCUUUAUGCACCAUUGGAUGAGCCCGCACUUGAUUAGUUUGUUGGUGGGGUAAUGGCCCACCAAGACUGUGAUCAAUAGCUGAUUUGAGAGGAUGAUCAGCCACAUUGGGACUGAGACACGGCCCAAACUCCUACGGGAGGCAGCAGUGGGGAAUCUUGCACAAUGGAGGAAACUCUGAUGCAGCGAUGCCGCGUGAGUGAAGAAGGCCCUUGGGUUGUAAAGCUCUUUCGUCGGGGAAGAAAAUGACUGUACCCGAAUAAGAAGGUCCGGCUAACUUCGUGCCAGCAGCCGCGGUAAUACGAAGGGACCUAGCGUAGUUCGGAAUUACUGGGCUUAAAGAGUUCGUAGGUGGUUGAAAAAGUUGGUGGUGAAAUCCCAGAGCUUAACUCUGGAACUGCCAUNCAAACUUUUCAGCUA
This 542-nucleotide ribosomal RNA is filed under the name uncultured bacterium. Its description in RNAcentral is "bacterial SSU rRNA". It matches the Rfam family "Bacterial small subunit ribosomal RNA", at positions 56 to 643 of the family's 1533-position model. The record is from RNAcentral.